CGGAUUGUUGAACUUGGACUCCCCUCAAAGGCCCUCGCUCUCCCAUGCACACCACAAAAUGUGUCACCUUCAACUGUAACCAUGGUAACAGGACUGUUUUCGGUUCUCCCCAUCUCCGUCGGGGGUCAUGUGAUCAUCCUCUGGUUAUUACACCUUUGCAGUUACUCCAAAAUUCAGCGGCACGUGUCCUGACGAAGACCAGAAGGCGGGCUCACAUUACACCAGUUUUAAAAUCUCUGCAUUGGCUCCCUGUGUGUUUCAGGAUAAAUUGUUUGCUUUUGCCCUAUGAACCUGAGAUCCUCCGGCACUCAUCUCCUAAUUAUUCCAAAAGUCAGGACACAAAGUCACGGGAUGGCAUCUUUCCAGCAUUAUGGCCACCGUCUAUGGAACGGAGGACCUCAGGGCUGGGGAGAAAGUUCAUGUUUUUAAGAGCAGGCUUAAGACCCACCUUUUUGAUUUGGCUUUACCUAAUAUUAUUUUAUUGAAGUAAUUUGUAUUUUACUUUUUAUCCUAUUAGUUUUGCAAGAUUUUAUUUAGUUCUAUUUAUUUAUUAUUUGUUUACUGUACAUAUAUAUAUAUAUUUUAUUUUUCUAUUAAUCUUCAUAUGUCUUACUUGUAUUUUAUUCUUUAUCUCAUAAUAUUAUGCUAGACCCACUCGACGUCCUUUUCAUCCGGUCUGCCCUAGAGGGAGGAGUCACCCACAUUUGCGGUCCUCUCCAAGGUUUCUCAUAGUCAUUCACAUUGACGUCCCACUGGGGUGAGUUUUUCCUUGCCCUUAUGUGGGCUCUGAACCGAGGAUGUCGUUGUGGCUUGUGCAGCCCUUUGAGACACUUGUGAUUUAGGGCUAUAUAAAUAAACAUUGAUUGAUUGAUUGAUCUCUACUCAUGGUUUUUACUACUUUACAAGUUUUGUUAUUUUUAUUUUCUAACGUUCCUCAGAUGAGCCAUCUGCCUCGGGGGUUAUCGGCCGUUCUUGUGGGGCCUUUUUGUGUCAGCGUCCUGGUGGCCAUGGUCUGAUGACCUCCUGGUACAGAUGGCUCCUGUGAUA
Molecule: long non-coding RNA, 1047 nt
Organism: Nerophis lumbriciformis (worm pipefish)
Lineage: Eukaryota; Metazoa; Chordata; Actinopteri; Syngnathiformes; Syngnathidae
Source: RefSeq, a predicted model, not a curated record